RNAcentral lists this small RNA (28 nucleotides) under Bombyx mori (domestic silkworm). RNAcentral's name for it is "ovarian small RNA-1865". Lineage: Eukaryota; Metazoa; Arthropoda; Insecta; Lepidoptera; Bombycidae. The record is from RNAcentral.
UACCUGAAUGGUUGUCACCACAUUUGUA